GGACAAUUUAACAAAAAUUACGGCAACCUUUCGUGCAUGGGACACAUAAUUUGUAUCAUCUUGAUCCCUUUUUUUUUUAUAUUUCCGUCUUUUCGAGAGAAAAAAAUCGACAUUACGUCAUCGCCCAAUUAUGAAUUGCUUGUUCUAGACAAACUUUUAUAUCGUUUGGUAAUAAAAUUUAUAUGUUUUUUACGGUAUUCAGAAUUUCACAAAACUAAAAGUGUAACGCGGG
Molecule: long non-coding RNA, 232 nt
Filed under: Mytilus galloprovincialis (Mediterranean mussel)
Lineage: Eukaryota; Metazoa; Mollusca; Bivalvia; Mytilida; Mytilidae
Source: RNAcentral